Leopardus geoffroyi (Geoffroy's cat) is the source of this 126-nucleotide long non-coding RNA. RefSeq lists it as uncharacterized. The transcript has 3 exons. NCBI's taxonomy places the organism in Eukaryota, Metazoa, Chordata, Mammalia, Carnivora, Felidae. The record is from RefSeq and is a predicted model, not a curated record.
GGCAGGGCACAGCAGAGCUCAGGGCUCCUGGAGAGGAGUCAGCUUUGGAGAAAGGACCACCCGGUCGCCGCUCCACACGGGGGAGUUGGCCCUGAACGACAGACUCAAAUGCACACCUGUUCCCGG